This 1037-nucleotide ribosomal RNA is filed under the name uncultured archaeon. RNAcentral's name for it is "bacterial SSU rRNA". It matches the Rfam family "Archaeal small subunit ribosomal RNA", at positions 6 to 1051 of the family's 1478-position model. The record is from RNAcentral.
GGUUGAUCCUGCCGGACCCGACUGCUAUCAGAGUGGGACUAAGCCAUGCGAGUCAACGCCGCAAGGCGUGGCAUACGGCUCAGUAACACGUAGUCAACAUGCCCAGGGGACGUGGAUAACCUCGGGAAACUGAGGAUAAACCGCGAUAGGCCAAGGUUUCUGGAAUGGACCAUGGCUGAAACCUAUACGGCCCCUGGAUUGGACUGCGGCCGAUCAGGCUGUUGGUGAGGUAAUGGCCCACCAAACCUGUAACCGGUACGGGCUUUGAGAGAAGGAGCCCGGAGAUGGGCACUGAGACAAGGGCCCAGGCCCUAUGGGGCGCAGCAGGCGCGAAACCUCUGCAAUAGGCGAAAGCUUGACAGGGUUACUCUGAGUGAUGCCCGCUAAGGGCAUCUUUUGGCACCUCUAAAAAUGGUGCAGAAUAAGGGGUGGGCAAGUCUGGUGUCAGCCGCCGCGGUAAUACCAGCACCCCGAGUGGUCGGGACGAUUAUUGGGCCUAAAGCAUCCGUAGCUUGUUCUGCAAGUCCUCCGUUAAAUCCACCUGCUCAACAGAUGGGCUGCGGAGGAUACUACAGGGCUAGGAGGCGGGAGAGGCAAGCGGUACUCAGUGGGUAGGGGUAAAAUCCUCUGAUCCACUGAAGACCACCAGUGGCGAAGGCGGCUUGCCAGAACGCGCUCGACGGUGAGGGAUGAAAGCUGGGGGAGCAAACCGGAUUAGAUACCCGGGUAGUCCCAGCUGUAAACGAUGCAGACUCGGUGAUGGGUUGGCUUUGAGCCAACCCAGUGCCGCAGGGAAGCCGUUAAGUCUGCCGCCUGGGGAGUACGGUCGCAAGACUGAAACUUAAAGGAAUUGGCGGGGGAGCACCACAAGGGGUGAAGCCUGCGGUUCAAUUGGAGUCAACGCCGGGAAUCUUACCGGGGGCGACAGCAGAGUGAAGGUCAAGCUGAAGACUUUACCAGACAAGCUGAGAGGAGGUGCAUGGCCGUCGCCAGCUCGUGCCGUGAGGUGUCCUGUUAAGUCAGGUAACGAGCAAGAU